Molecule: long non-coding RNA, 152 nt
Organism: Bufo bufo (common toad)
Lineage: Eukaryota; Metazoa; Chordata; Amphibia; Anura; Bufonidae
Exons: 3
Source: RefSeq, a predicted model, not a curated record
AAUGCCGGAUCCUGUCUUAUAUAUUCCUUCCAUGUACAAUGCCCUCUGCACAAGUCACAGAGCAUGCCUAGAAAACUCUCCCAUAGAAGUCAAUGAGGUCACCUCCUGAUCAUUGUGUCUAUGGACCAUGUGGCUGCUAAAAAGCUAUUUUC